Molecule: ribosomal RNA, 261 nt
Filed under: uncultured prokaryote
Description: partial 16S ribosomal RNA
Rfam family: Bacterial small subunit ribosomal RNA
Source: RNAcentral
UACGGAGGAUCCUAGUGUUAUCCGGAUUUAUUGGGUUUAAAGGGAGUGUAGGCGGGAGGUCAAGUCAGCUGUGAAAUGUAUCUGCUUAACGGGUACACUGCAGUUGAAACUGGUUUUCUUGAGUGCGUAAGAGGCAGGCGGAAUUCGUUGUGUAGCGGUGAAAUGCUUAGAUAUGACGAGGAACUCCUAUUGCGAAGGCAGCUUGCUGGGUCGUUAAUGACGCUGAUGCUCGAAGGUGCGGGGAUCAAACAGGAUUAGAUA